This 367-nucleotide ribosomal RNA is filed under the name Plectropomus pessuliferus marisrubri (Red Sea coralcod). RNAcentral's name for it is "partial 12S ribosomal RNA". The record is from RNAcentral. Lineage: Eukaryota; Metazoa; Chordata; Actinopteri; Perciformes; Serranidae.
GUGUGCGCGCUUCAGGGCCAAUUUCAGCAGGACGCUCUAUUUCCUGCUUACUUUUAAAUCCUCCUUCAAUAUGCAUAUUUCAGUGCGAUUUUUCGUAUUUUCUUCGCGAGAAAAUGUAGCCCAUUUCUUUCCUUUUCAUAGGCUACACCUCGACCUGACGUUUUGGGCUAUGCCAAUUGUGCUUACUGUAGGUCCCUCAGGGGGUAAGCUGACGACGGCGGUAUAUAGGCGGAAUGGGGCAAGAAAAGGUGAGGUUUAACGGGGGUUAUCGGUUUCAAGAACAGGCUCCUCUAGAUGGGUCUAAAGCACCGCCAAGUCCUUUGGGUUUCAAGCUAAUGCUCGUAGUCCCCUGGCGGAUAGUGGGUGU